GCCGGCGACCGGCGCACGGGUGAGUAACGCGUAUCCAACCUUCCGUACACUCAGGGAUAGCCUUUCGAAAGAAAGAUUAAUACCUGAUGGUAUGAUGAGAUUGCAUGAUAGCAUCAUUAAAGAUUUAUCGGUGUACGAUGGGGAUGCGUUCCAUUAGGUAGUAGGCGGGGUAACGGCCCACCUAGCCAACGAUGGAUAGGGGUUCUGAGAGGAAGGUCCCCCACAUUGGAACUGAGACACGGUCCAAACUCCUACGGGAGGCAGCAGUGAGGAAUAUUGGUCAAUGGACGAGAGUCUGAACCAGCCAAGUAGCGUGAAGGAUGAAGGUCCUACGGAUUGUAAACUUCUUUUAUAAGGGAAUAAACCCUCCCACGUGUGGGAGCUUGUAUGUACCUUAUGAAUAAGCAUCGGCUAACUCCGUGCCAGCAGCCGCGGUAAUACGGAGGAUGCGAGCGUUAUCCGGAUUUAUUGGGUUUAAAGGGAGCGCAGACGGGUCGUUAAGUCAGCUGUGAAAGUUUGGGGCUCAACCUUAAAAUUGCAGUUGAUACUGGCGUCCUUGAGUGCGGUUGAGGUGUGCGGAAUUCGUGGUGUAGCGGUGAAAUGCUUAGAUAUCACGAAGAACUCCGAUUGCGAAGGCA
This 638-nucleotide ribosomal RNA is filed under the name uncultured bacterium. Its description in RNAcentral is "bacterial SSU rRNA". It matches the Rfam family "Bacterial small subunit ribosomal RNA", at positions 87 to 723 of the family's 1533-position model. The record is from RNAcentral.